UGGGGAAUUUUGCACAAUGGGGGAAACCCUGAUGCAGCGACGCCGCGUGAUUUAGAAGGCCUUCGGGUUGUAAAAAUCUUUUUUAUGGGAUGAAAAUGACAGUACCAUAAGAAUAAGGUCCGGCUAAAUACGUGCCAGCAGCCGCGGUAAUACGUAUGGACCGAGCGUUGUCCGGAAUCAUUGGGCGUAAAGGGUACGUAGGCGGCCUAGUAAGUUAGAAGUGAAAUAAUAUAGCUCAACUAUAUAAAGCUUUUAAAACUGUUAGGCUUGAGAGAUGAAAGGGAAAGUGGAAUUCCUAGUGUAGCGGUGAAAUGCGCAGAUAUUAGGAAGAAUACCGGUGGCGAAGGCGACUUUCUGGUCAUCAUCUGACGCUGAGGUACGAAAGCGUGGGUAGCAAACAGG
RNAcentral lists this ribosomal RNA (402 nucleotides) under Acidobacteriota bacterium. RNAcentral describes it as "Acidobacteria bacterium partial 16S ribosomal RNA". It matches the Rfam family "Bacterial small subunit ribosomal RNA", at positions 355 to 776 of the family's 1533-position model. The record is from RNAcentral. RNAcentral also lists the same sequence under 2 other names. Lineage: Bacteria; Pseudomonadati; Acidobacteriota.